ACAGGAGAGGGCAGGGGAAUUGAAAGUGCAUUCCAGACUGGUGACACAGCCCAGUGGCCCCAGGGCAGGGAGGGCACCCGCUGAGCUGCUGUUCUGGAAGAUUCCUGAGAUCUGAUUUCCCUGAAGAGGAGAGAAUGUGUUCUCAGGAAUACAGCCAUCCAGAGAGUGUGGGUGCUGAUGAUGAAGUUAGAAGAUGAACUGGUUGGGUACAGCUGAGUGGCCUGCCCUGCUAUCUGAACUCGAGUCCCACAGAUCAGCACCGUCGCCAGCUUCCUUGGCCAGCGUUGUAAAGUUGUGAUCUCUUUAGACAAUGUGGGGGAUGGAAACAGCCACAGUCACUGAAACGACAGGAGUCUCUUCGUUGGCCUAGACUGGCCAGUGUAGACUGGCUGGCUAGGGAGCCUCAUGGAUCCCCCGUCUCUGCUGCUCCAGCACCACAAUUACAAGGACAUGCUAUCACACCCAGCUUUUUACGUGCACACUGGGUACUGAAUUCAGGAGCUUUUGUCCCAACCUGUUGAUUUUUAGGUUUUUUUUGUUUUUGUUUUGUUUUUUUGAGACAGGAUCCCACUAAAUUGCCUUUAAACUUGUCAUCCUCCUGCCUCAGCUUCUGAUAGGCCUGGUUUUGUUUUCUUUCUGUCACACGUCUCUCUUUGAAUUCUCACCAUAUCCCCAUUUCUGGCUUCACUGAAGACUCCUAUCUGACUCCUUUGCCCCCAGUCCUAAGGCAAGGCCACCUAUGCCCACUCGAACCAUGUGUGGGGUGCCUCUUUAUAAGAAAGACUCUGCCCUCACCUCCCCAGCCCCCAACACAGUGUGACCAGCCUGGGGUCACUCCCACGUACCAGUCCACCAGGUCAAGGGCAUAGCCACAGACAUAGUCUCCCAAGUACUUUGUGUGUGGGCCUGCCUGGUUGGAUUCCUGUGGUCCAGGGGUGCAGCUCAGAGUCAGGGGACACCCCAGGGGCAGGCAGCAGGUUGGUAUAGAAAAUACAGGACAGAGACAGCAUGAAGAUUAGGGAAGAAGGUGCAGAGAAGCAGUGAGUUGGAGCUUUUUAUGUCUGCAGCUUCCUGUCUUCCAGCUCCUGAGGUCCUAGCACUAGCAGAGGAGCACUUGCUGUACAACCCUGACGGCCU
Molecule: long non-coding RNA, 1137 nt
Organism: Rattus norvegicus (Norway rat)
Lineage: Eukaryota; Metazoa; Chordata; Mammalia; Rodentia; Muridae
Source: RefSeq, a predicted model, not a curated record